UUCUUUUUUUUUUCAUACUACACCAGAAGAGUGUUACAUUUUGAGAGUCAUACAAAAUUUGGGACUAACUUUGAAGUUUUGUAACUUACUUUGAGCUGGAGAUGUUUCUCAUGUUUCGUUUUUACAAUCAUGACAAUGGUAAACUUAAUUUCUUUCUUCUAAAGAUGUAAUUUCUGAUUGUCUCUCCAAGUUCAAACAUGUGCCUUUCUUAACCAUCAUACGGCACAUAGAGGAACUUGGAAACAAAGCCCAGAUUAAUGACAAUUCAUUCUUUCCCAAACAUUGCAGACCGGUGUCAAUAAUUAUCAUAUUUAAUGAAUUACGUUUACCUAUUGUAAAACGCUUCAAUGACUUUGACAAAAGAUUGCAAUGCAGACAAAUGAUUACAAGUGACUGGGAAUAGAAAAACGUCAUAAUUACGUCAGCAAAAUGGUGGUUUUGACGCUUACAAUACAAAUGAAGAUGAAGUAAUAUAGCUGUCAAAAUAAAGCAGAUUUGUUAUCAGAUAAGUAAAUUAUAUAUAUUUUUGAUUAUUUUUUUUUGCUGAAUAACUAUUUGUUGAAGCAUUAUAAUAAUUAUUGAUUAAUUAUAAUAAAUAUAAAACACCAGA
Molecule: long non-coding RNA, 610 nt
Filed under: Mytilus galloprovincialis (Mediterranean mussel)
Lineage: Eukaryota; Metazoa; Mollusca; Bivalvia; Mytilida; Mytilidae
Source: RNAcentral